RNAcentral lists this ribosomal RNA (227 nucleotides) under uncultured bacterium. RNAcentral describes it as "partial 16S ribosomal RNA". It matches the Rfam family "Bacterial small subunit ribosomal RNA", at positions 585 to 810 of the family's 1533-position model. The record is from RNAcentral.
AAGUCGGUUGUGAAAGCCUUCCGCUCAACGGAAGAACGGCAUCCGAUACUGCAUGGCUUGAGUGUGGGAGGGGAGAGUGGAACUUCUGGUGGAGCGGUGAAAUGCGUAGAUAUCAGUAGGAACACCGGCGGCGAAGGCGACUCUCUGGUCCAUAACUGACGCCGAGUGUGCGAAAGCUAGGGGAGCAAACGGGAUUAGAUACCCCGGUAGUCCUAGCCGUAAACGAU